CGGUAAUUCCAGCUCCAAUAGCGUAUAUUAAAGUUGUUGCAGUUAAGAAGCUCGUAGUCGAAUUUCGGAUUUGGCCUACUGGUCUACCUUAUGGUCAGUACUGGUUAGGCUGGAUCUUACCUUCUGGGGAACUAUCAUGCUCUUUAUUGAAUGUGAUUGGGAACCAGGACAUUUACUUUGAAAAAAUUAGAGUGUUUAAGGCAGGCUUAUGCUUGAAUACAUUAGCAUGGAAUAAUGAAAUAGGACUUUGGUUCUAUUUUGUUGGUUUCUAGGACCAAAGUAAUGAUCAAUAGGAACAGUUGGGGGCAUUAGUAUUGAGACGUUAGAGGUGAAAUUCUUGGAUCGUCUCAAGACUAACUACUGCGAAAGCAUUUGCCAAGGAUGUUUUCACUGAUCAAGAACGAAAGUUAGGGGAUCGAAGACGAUCAGAUACCGUCGUAGUCUUAACCAUAAACUAUGCCGACUAGGGAUCAGUGAAUGUUAAUUAACCGACUUCAUUGGCACCUUAUGAGAAAUCAAAGUUUUUGGGUUCCGGGGGGAGUAUG
This 545-nucleotide ribosomal RNA is filed under the name uncultured eukaryote. Its description in RNAcentral is "SSU rRNA". It matches the Rfam family "Eukaryotic small subunit ribosomal RNA", at positions 577 to 1127 of the family's 1831-position model. The record is from RNAcentral.